AUGUCCUAUGAAGCCAUCUACUCUGAUCCAGUAAAGAAGCCACUCCAUCUGCAGAAUGCUGAAUAUCAAAGCUUCACACAACCUAUUGAAGGCAUUCACGUACCAAACUCGACUACUCCUGACUAUCCCCUGGCUGGCAACUUGCGUAUGCCGCAUCGCGCCAAUACUGAAGUCACUGCCAGUAUAAUUGCUCAAAGGCCUCGGAAGCGUUCGCGUGUCCUCAAUGAUCGUGAGCAUGUGGUAUCUUUGCAUCAGAAGCAGGAUAAGCAUCAUGAAUGGCUGAAAUGGAAAAUGCAGAGUCUUUUGGUGGAUGCCAAUCGUAUUAGCAACCUGGCCACCAAGAACUCCUUCGUCGCCCAUGAAGCAUGUCGGCGGUCCUGGAAGAGCCUUACCUUGCUCUGCUCUGAAGAUGAUCUUCGUGAAGAUGGCUUCACUGAGAAAUUCAAGUUUGACUCCAGGCCCCCGCAAUCUGCAAGUUGGCGUCCAACACCUUCUAUGAAGAUUCUGAGUACUCAUCUUCGGCUGCAACUAUUGUUGCGAGAGUCGUCGAUGAAGAAGACAACGCCACUUCACCAGUAUUAG
This 582-nucleotide ribosomal RNA is filed under the name Triticum aestivum (bread wheat). RNAcentral describes it as "partial small subunit ribosomal RNA". Lineage: Eukaryota; Viridiplantae; Streptophyta; Magnoliopsida; Poales; Poaceae. The record is from RNAcentral.